Molecule: ribosomal RNA, 750 nt
Filed under: uncultured bacterium
Lineage: Bacteria
Description: bacterial SSU rRNA
Rfam family: Bacterial small subunit ribosomal RNA
Source: RNAcentral
CAGAACGAACGCUGGCGGCGUGCCUAACACAUGCAAGUCGAACGUGAUCCGCCCUUCGGGGUGGUGAAAGUGGCGCACGGGUGAGUAACGCGUGGAUAAUCUGCCCGAGGAUUUGGGAUAACAUCUCGAAAGGGGUGCUAAUACCGAAUAAGCCCACGGGGUCUACGGAUCUUGCGGGAAAAGGGGGGGACCUUCGGGCCUCCUGUCCUUGGAUGAGUCUGCGUACCAUUAGCUAGUUGGUGGGGUAAUGGCCUACCAAGGCGACGAUGGUUAGCUGGUCUGAGAGGAUGAUCAGCCACACUGGAACUGAGACACGGUCCAGACUCCUACGGGAGGCAGCAGUGGGGAAUUUUGCGCAAUGGGGGAAACCCUGACGCAGCAACGCCGCGUGGGUGAUGAAGGCCUUCGGGUCGUAAAGCUCUGUCUGGAGGGAAGAAAUGAUUGGGAGCUAAUACCUCUUGAUCUUGACGGUACCUCUGAAGGAAGCACCGGCUAACUCCGUGCCAGCAGCCGCGGUAAUACGGAGGGUGCAAGCGUUGUUCGGAAUUAUUGGGCGUAAAGCGCGUGUAGGCGGUCUUUUAAGUCUGAUGUGAAAGCCCCGGGCUCAACCUGGGAAGUGCAUUGGAAACUGGGAGGCUUGAGUACGGGAGAGGAGAGUGGAAUUCCUAGUGUAGGAGUGAAAUCCGUAGAUAUUAGGAGGAACACCCGGUGGCGAAGGCGGCUCUCUGGACCGAUACUGACCGCUAGACG